AAAAAUAUUCCGAAAAUGCAUUUCCCGCAUUAUAUAUAUUUAUAGCAAACAAACCUUUACUGGUUAAGUGGAGUCGCAUUUGUUGUUUUCUUCUUCGCACCACCCAUUCGCUUCCACUCGGCUUCCUGUUCCGCCAUCUCUGCCACCUAGGGUUCCGCCGCCGACCAAUGUUGCCCUACAAGACUCUCCAGGAGGCCGAGGCGUUUCUGGGGCGGAACCUCACGUUUCCGGAAACCGUAUGGCUCAAUUACUCUGCCAACAAGUCUGAUUACUUCCUUUACUGCCACAACAUUCUUUUCCUCUUCCUUAUCUUCUCUGUCGUCCCUCUUCCGUUGGUCUUCAUGGAGCUCUCGCGAUCUUCCGGCUU
RNAcentral lists this long non-coding RNA (367 nucleotides) under Vitis vinifera (wine grape). RNAcentral's name for it is "long non-coding RNA (VVIN_LNC008172)". The record is from RNAcentral. Lineage: Eukaryota; Viridiplantae; Streptophyta; Magnoliopsida; Vitales; Vitaceae.